RNAcentral lists this ribosomal RNA (511 nucleotides) under fungal sp. E15121A. Its description in RNAcentral is "eukaryotic LSU rRNA". The stretch from base 164 to 317 matches the Rfam family "5.8S ribosomal RNA". The record is from RNAcentral. Lineage: Eukaryota; Fungi.
CGGAGGGAUCAUUACCGAGUUUACAACUCCCAAACCCCUGUGAACAUACCUAUACGUUGCCUCGGCGGAUCAGCCCGCGCCCCGUAAAAAGGGACGGCCCGCCCGAGGACCCCUAAACUCUGUUUUUAGUGGAACUUCUGAGUAAAACAAACAAAUAAAUCAAAACUUUCAACAACGGAUCUCUUGGUUCUGGCAUCGAUGAAGAACGCAGCAAAAUGCGAUAAGUAAUGUGAAUUGCAGAAUUCAGUGAAUCAUCGAAUCUUUGAACGCACAUUGCGCCCGCCAGUAUUCUGGCGGGCAUGCCUGUUCGAGCGUCAUUUCAACCCUCAAGCUCAGCUUGGUGUUGGGACUCGCGGUAACCCGCGUUCCCCAAAUCGAUUGGCGGUCACGUCGAGCUUCCAUAGCGUAGUAAUCAUACACCUCGUUACUGGUAAUCGUCGCGGCCACGCCGUAAAACCCCAACUUCUGAAUGUUGACCUCGGAUCAGGUAGGAAUACCCGCUGAACUUAAG